AACGAACGCUGGCGGCAUGCCUAACACAUGCAAGUCGAACGAGACCUUCGGGUCUAGUGGCGCACGGGUGCGUAACGCGUGGGAACCUGCCUUUAGGUUCGGAAUAACUCCCCGAAAGGGGUGCUAAUACCUGAUAAUGUCUUCGGACCAAAGAUUUAUCGCCUUUGGAUGGGCCCGCGUUGGAUUAGUUAGUUGGUAGGGUAAAAGCCUACUACGGCGACGAUCCAUAGCUGGUCUGAGAGGAUGAUCAGUCACACUGGGACUGAGACACGGCCCAGAAUCCUACGGGAGGCAGCAGUGGGGAAUAUAGUACAGUGGGCGAAAGCAUGACCAAGCCAGGCCGCGUGAGUGAUGAAGGCAUUAGGGUUGUAAAGCUCUUUUACCCGUGAUGAUAAUGACAGUACCUGGAGAAUAAGCUCGGGCUAACUCCGUG
Molecule: ribosomal RNA, 433 nt
Filed under: uncultured bacterium
Lineage: Bacteria
Description: partial 16S ribosomal RNA
Rfam family: Bacterial small subunit ribosomal RNA
Source: RNAcentral